UACGGAGGAUGCAAGCGUUAUCCGGAUUCAUUGGGUUUAAAGGGUGCGUAGGCGGGGAGGUAAGUCAGUGGUGAAUGCCUGCAGCUUAACUGCAGAAGUGCCAUUGAUACCGUCGCUCUUGAAUGCGGUUGAGGCAGGCGGAAUGUGUAAUGUAGCGGUGAAAUGCUUAGGUAUUACACAGAACACCGAUUGCGUAGGCAGCUUGCUAAACCGUGAUUGACGCUGAGGCACGAAAGCGUGGGGAGCAAACAGG
This 253-nucleotide ribosomal RNA is filed under the name uncultured bacterium. RNAcentral describes it as "partial 16S ribosomal RNA". It matches the Rfam family "Bacterial small subunit ribosomal RNA", at positions 524 to 776 of the family's 1533-position model. The record is from RNAcentral.